RNAcentral lists this long non-coding RNA (8219 nucleotides) under Citrus maxima (pomelo). RNAcentral's name for it is "long non-coding RNA (CMAX_LNC000489)". The record is from RNAcentral. Lineage: Eukaryota; Viridiplantae; Streptophyta; Magnoliopsida; Sapindales; Rutaceae.
UCACUGAUACGUUCUUAGGUUGGUGUAAAGAGACAGCACAAGAGUAUGGUAUUUUUCAUGCUAUAUUCAUAGGAGGUGGUGGCUUUGGCUUUGCUUGUUUGUACUCGAUGUUGCUAAACCUACCUCACCGCAGCACGGAUUCUGAUGAAUUUCUGUUGCCGGAUUUUCCAGAAGCUUCAACACUUCAUGUAACACAGAUAUCUCCUUACUUACGUGCUACCGAUGGAAGUGAUUCUUUUUCAGUGUUUUAUAAGAAGUUGCUUCUUCUAUGGAAGGAUGCAGAUGGAAUUUUGGUUAACACGGUUGAGGAACUUGACAAGAUUGGACUGAUGUAUUUCAAGAGAAAAUUUGGCCGGCCGGUUUGGCCAAUAGGGCCUGUUCUUUUGUCCACGGAAAGCAGAGCUGGGGCCAGAAAAGAGUACGGAAUCUCCACAGAGUUGUGUAAAAAAUGGCUUGAUACAAAGCCGUACACUUCAGUUCUGUAUGUAUCAUUUGGUUCACAAAACACAAUAGCUGCAUCACAAAUGAUGCAAUUGGCAAUGGCUUUAGAGGCUAGUGGCAAGAAUUUCAUUUGGGUUGUCAGGCCGCCGAUUGGCUUUGACAUAAAUUCUGAGUUUAAAGCCAACAAAUGGCUGCCUCGAGGAUUUGAAGAAAGAAUCAAAUGUUCAGGACAAGGGCUAGUGGUACACAAAUGGGCACCUCAGGUGGAGAUUUUAUCUCAUAGGUCUGUAUCCGCAUUUUUGAGCCACUGCGGAUGGAACUCUGUGCUUGAAGCUUUGAGUCAUGGGGUGCCGAUAAUUGGGUGGCCAUUGGCAGCAGAGCAGUUUUAUAAUUCUAAGCUCUUAGAAGAAGAGAUGGGGGUUUGUGCGGAGAUAGCAAGAGGGAUGAGUUGUGAGGUUCUGAAAGAGGACUUAAGUGCAAAAAUUGAGUUAGUGAUGAAUGAGACUGAGAAAGGAACAGACUUGAGAAACAAAGCUAAUGAGGUCAAGGUGAUUAUUAAGAAUGCUGUGAGAAAUGAAACAAAUUUUAAGGGGUCUUCUGUGAAAGCCAUGGAUCAAUUCUUGAAUGCUGCAUUGAUAAUGAGACAGACGGAAAAGGGAGCAUCAAACAUCAAAGGAUGAGGUUUGAUUUUGCGUGGAAGUAAGUCUCCAUUGCCAUUUCUGUCAAUGAAAAAUAAUGUCAUCUUUUAACGAGACAGUUUUUGGAAAAUUCUUGAAGUAAUGUUAAGUUUUGGGAAAAUUCUUGAAGUAAUGUUAUCUUUGUAUUAACUUUCGAUCAAUAAUAUGAAAUUUAAUUUUAUAUAAAUUAAUCCCAUACCAAAGAGCCACCUCUGUUUUUUGUGACUACAUCUAUCGAGAGUUUGAGUUUAAAGCUUGUUAUUUCCGAGUGGGAUCAAGAAUUUAUAGAGCAUAAUUCCUUUUUUUUUUUUUUUUUUUUGAUAGAGCAUAAUUCCUUAGUAUUUAAUGUUUUCAAUAAAUGAAAGUAAGAUUGGGCCGGAAAAACAUCACGCACGAUCCACAUCAAGCCCAACCCAGACCAUAUCAUUUGGGCUGGUUUGAUAAGGGAAACUCAAUCUAUAAUAAAUUUCGGCAGGGAUUGGGUUGAUGAUUUUCACAAAAUAAUUUCUAAAAUGAUAAAUCGAUAAAUUACUGUUGAAAAAAUAAUAAUAAAAGGUAGAAAUCUGCAUCUCUUGAUUUAUCAAUGGCACCAUCAUCGUCAAUGACCAAGCUUCUGAUAGUGGCUAUAACGAUAUUUGUAAGUUUUGGCUAAAUGGGAUUGCCACCAUUAAAUUUUUUAGUUAUUUGUAUCUUAGAUUUUUCUAAGAUCAUAAUAUGUCAAAAUAAAUUAUUGAAUCUAAAAGGAAAAAAAAAUUGAACUAACUGUACUUUUUUUUUUAAUGGAAAUGCAUUUUGAUUAAAGUAUAGUAAAACGUUAAUAGCAAGAAUAAACAUGACUUUUCAUAUGAAAUUUUGGUUCAAUCGCAUGCUGUAAAUUUCAAAAUUUGGGACGCCAUAAAUUUCAAAGUUUGAGAAACAAAAAAGUUAUGAGAUUUUUCUAAAUAUGUGCAUUGAGAUCUCCUUCUUACCAUUCCUUAAUUACAUUUUUUUUUGUUGAAUUAUAUUGUGUUUUGUGGUCACUUAAAAUAGGAUUCAACUUUAUACCAUUGAACCAAUCAUGUUAAAAUGUUGGAUGAAAUUGAAUUAAAAUUAUUCAUAGCAUUAGAUGGAGAUUGAGAUUUUAUAAACAAAUGUUGGAUGGUGAUUGGAGAAAAGAGAUAUUGCAAAUGGCGACGCUGAUCGGAGAAAACAAAAAUACCCUAAAGUAUAUAAACGCUUGGUUUCGCAAUGAUAUAUAUUGUCUGAUUUAUUGAAAUUUGCUUUAAAGUAUACUCUAAUUUACUGGAUUGCUUGAAAAAAUAAAGUGUAAUGUUAAUCGCAUCUCGUAGAUUUGUAUGCAAAAUAAAUUUUAAUAUAAUAUUUUAAAUUAAUUAAAAUAACAGUAAUUUUCCAUUACAAUAAUAAAUCGUCUUUAAUUAUUUAUGAAGACAAAAUUUGGGCUAUUUUCAUAUUGAAAGCACAUAUACUCUUUGUCUGCAGGGGCGACCCUCCAAGACUGAGACCAUCUAAAACUUGACUCAACAACUCAGCAUCGUAUAUAUAUUCCCAAAAGAUGAAAGCUUUGGUUUCCCAACUAAGUCACCCACCUGUGCUUUUCCCCUGCGUAUUUAGGGAUGGCAAAAAUCCCUACGAAGACGGGUAUUUUCGGAGAUUUUUUCCAUUCAGAGAGAAUAUGAGGAUAAUUUCAUACCCAAUUUCUUAUUCAGGAAAGGGACAUAGAAAUUUUUUAAUUUCUUAUUCGGGGAGGGGACGGGGAUGAGGUGGAAUCCUCAUCCCCUACCCAUUUCCCCAUUUUAAUUUUUAAUUUAAUUUUUAUUUUUUAAAAUUACUAGUAAAUAAAUAAUAAAAUUUGAAUUAUAAAAUUAUAAGUAUUGGUAAAAAUAAAAAAUAUCAAAAUAUUUAUAUUAUUAAACUUUUAGGCCUAAUUAACUAAUUAAAGUCCUAAAUUUUUAUUUAAGACAUUAAAAAGACCGGACAUAUUCUAUUAGCCCAAAAUUUUUAUUUUUAUUUUAAUAUUCAUUAAAUAUUUUAAACUUAAAUCUAUUUUUUAUUUAUCUUAAAUCUAUUUUUUAUUUAUUUUUAGAUGUUAUAAUUGCCCACAACAAAUCACAAUUUUAAUAUCCAAUCUAAUUUAAUAUUUGCUCUUGAUUUGUUUCGACUUAACUAUUGUGUUGUAAAGGGAAUAGUCCACAUUUAUAAAGUGCUCACGCCACCAUUGAAAAGUUAAUUUUGAAUCUAAAUUUGAUUUUAUUUGUAACAAUUUUGUAUUAGGCUAUUAAUUUGUUCAUGAUAGUUUGUAUCCCUUGCAUGCUGCGUUACUUACUAAUUUAAUAUAUGUGACUUUUGUAAUGGAUAUUAAUGUAAGAUAUAUUUCGAAAUUUACUUUUAUUUGAAUUUUUUUAUUUUAAUAUGAUUAACUCAAAAUCGAAAACAAAAAAAAAUGUAUUAGUUAUUCAGGGAUCGGGGACCCUCGGGGAUCCCCUGUUAUUAUUCGGGGAGGGGAUGAUGAUUCUCUUAAACAAUUGUGACGGGGAUGAAGAGGGGACGGGGAUAUACGCAAAAUAUCGGGGAUGGGUACGGGGAGAUUGGUCCUCUCCCCUCCCCUCCCCAUUGCCAUCCCUAUGCGUAUUGGUGUUGGAUCAAUGUUGUAUAUGCCUUCGCUACAAAAUUAGACAAUUUUAAAAAUUUUGGUGAUUAUGAUCCUAUUUAGGACUGAAUUGUUGUAACUUUUAAAGUACAAGUUUUGUGAAAAAAAAAGAUAUAAUUAUGAAUUAAGAGUAAAUAAUAUAUAGUAAACAUAAAUUUUAAAUAAUAAUUUUACUAAAAUUAUUAAAGAUUUAUUAGACUUUUCAUCACAUAAAUAUAAAAUCAAAUCAAAUUAGCUUUUAAAAUAUAACAGUUAAUGUUUACCAAAUACUUUAAUACUGUAACUUUUAAGGUAUAACUGUCCAACCUUAAUUCUAAAUAUAGUCUAUGAGUGUGUUUGGGAGUGAUGCGAGACAACUCGGUUGCUAAUGUAUUUGGUUACAUCUUACAGCUAAACUUUGACAGCUCAACAGUUUAAAAGUUAAAGUUUUUACUCUACAGCUAUAAUUUUUACUCUACAACAACUGCAACUUAAAAAUUACAGUACCUUACUUCCAAACACACCUUAUAUCUAUCACAAACUUGUUCAGAUUACUAACUAAUUAUGCGUUAUUUAACAUAGUAGAAUUCAGUAAUUCACUUAUUAUUAAUUUUUUGUUUUAGAUUUAGGUCUCUUGACCAUCUUUCACCGAUACAAACUGUUUUAUUACAUACCAAAACUGUUAAAAUCAAGGACGGAAGCAGCAUUGGUGCUACUAGGAUUAGUUGUCCCCACUUAAUUAAAAAAAGUAUUUAUUAAUCUAUUUUAUGCUUAAGUCUCACCCUGUAAUCUUUUAUCUUGAUUUCAUUGUUCAGUCCAUUUAUCCUUUAAAAUUAUUUGAACAACUCAGUAACUUGAAAUUAAAAGCCUAAUAGCCUUAAUUCCAGUAUGUUGCCAAAAAAAAAAAAUUAAUUAGCAUUGAUAAUAAAAUUAUUGCGCAAUCAACUCAUAAAAAAUUUAUAUAUAUAUAUAUAUAUUAUGAGUGAAAGAUAUAAUCUUAUAGUUAUUAUUAUUUUUAAAAAAUUACCCCCAUAGAACAAAUUUCUAACUUCAUUCCUUUUUAAAGUAACUCACGUUAUUUUAAAUUUUCAACAAAAGUCAAAGACAAAUAGGUAUAAAUAAUUAUUUUAAAUUUUUUAUUAAAACUUAGCAGUUUGAGAAAAUUUUAUUAAAUAUGAAAUAAGAAAUGAAAUACCAAAUUCAGAGAAUUUAAUUACAUUAUUUUUUCCCAGUUGGAAAUAUGUUGGAAAGAAAUGCCUUCAAAAUUUGCCAUUAAAAUAAGAAAUAUGUUUAUUAAUAUAAAUUAAAAAAUAAUGUAAUUAAAUUGAUUAAUAAAUAUUUGAUUUGGUUGGUCAUUUAACCAUAAAGUGACAACAUACAAGCGACAGAGUUGACGACUUUUUGUGCAGUGUGGAGCCCAUUCUAGACACAAAAAGUUAUGGAACAAAUGGUGCCACCAAACAAAUUUUUACUUCUAUGAAAGGGAAUCAAAAAAUGAGAAUGAUUUGAUGUCAAAAGUCAGUAUGAUCCAAGCAAUGCUGCAAAACGGUGCCACCAAACAAAUUUUUCAUUGUUAUUACGUUAAAAGACAGAAAAAAAAAAAACAAUUUGGAAACAGUACCAAGCAGCCUACUAAAAUUCUCGAAUUAUUUAGGAUUGGGGUUUUCUUUGAUGUUUAAUGAAUUAUUAUUGGCAAAUUGUAGUGAGUCAACAAUUGAAAUUAUAUUGAUCAAAUUGUAUCAGAACAUGAAUUCAUAUAAGUAAAUAGUGAGUAAAAGUUACUAGAUAGUCUGCAGUAAUAAAAUAAACAAUAGAAAAGAAAAUGAAAAAUAGAAAACUUAGAAAAAAAAAAAAGAGGCCUGUUAAACAAUAGUUUCUUUAAAACAAAUUUAUCACCUAUUACAGUGAUGUUAGAUUCAUUGGUAUUUGUUUUUCAAGAUACAACAGGAACAAAUUAUUUGUCAAACACAUACAAAUAAUUUCGGUGAACAUCAACAAUGUAGAAUCUCAAUCAAAACAUAACGUUAGAGGGAAAAAAAUUUAUUUUCUUUUCAAGUGUUCUGUGUGUUUGUUGUAUAUAAAACAUAAGAGAAAUAUUGUUUUUUUUAUAUACAUGAGGGUAUGACUGUUGAAUAAUAAAAUUGAAUAUUUGAAUUCUAUAUUUAAUUUAAUUUGCUUCUGUAAUAGCCCGUUGAAUUCAAAAUAUUUAAUUUUGUAACAACUCAAAAUUUAUUCACAAAUCAAACUAUUUUUUAUUUUUAAUUUUGAAAACUGUUACAAAAUUUAAAAGGAAAUAAAAAAAUGUGGUCAUGCAGGCUUGAGUGAUUUUUUGGUCGACAUUCGCAUAUGCAAGACGCUUGGGUGUACACGAGUUCAACCAAAUUGAGUUUGGAUUGCACUUCCCCUCCCCCCACAAGUGGCGUAGAGAAAACCUCUAUCUUUAAAAUUCUUAUUCAUGUAUGGAUAGGUAUCUAUAUAUAAACACAAAUCCCUUAGCUUAUUUUUUCUAUGUGAGAUAAGUUUUAUUUUUUUUCAAAUUUCUAACUUCAAGAGUGCACUUUGAGAGUCAAUUUUCUCAUUCACCCAAGCAUGAUUUUGAAUAUAUAUAAAUAUAUCAUUCUAAAGCGUUCACAGAAUAGAAUCCAAACCUCUCAAUAUUUUCAUUUUUGUUAAGUGGGUCCCACUCAAAAUGUGCCCUCCAAAAUAGCAUACUAAUAUGCUAUUUUUCAACAACUAUAUGAUAACAAAUUAACAAUAAUGAUAAAGUCAAAAUUAGUUUUGUACAACCAAUGGGUCAUUUGUUUUUUUUUUUUUUUGACUUAAUGACUUAAUUGAAUUUGUUAAGUCAUUAAAUCUAUUUAUUUUUUUCAACUUAAUGAAAAUUUUCAGUCAUUAGGUCAUUAAGUUAUUAAACUAAUUUUUUUAAACUUUUUGUUUAAUCUAAAAAGUCUGAAUGAUAUAAUUAAAAGAUAUUCUCCAAAAUAUCCCUAUCUAAUUAAUUAAUUUUCAUUUUUACCUAAAUAAAAUUUAAUAAUGAGCAGUAUUACCCAUCUCUAUAUAACUUGUGAUAAUAUAUAGUGGUAAACUAUUAUUUUUUUAUCUUUUAAUUUUUUUUCAAAUUAGCAUUAUUUAUCUUCAUAAUUUGUUAUGAAUAUUAUUCAUAUAAAAAUAUCAUAAACUAUAAUAAAUUUGAUAAACAUAUAUAAUAUAGAAUACUAAAGAGUUGUAUUCAAUCGAAUAUGAUUUAUGUUAUAAUCAUAUAUUAUCUUAUUUAUAUUCUUUGAGAUAUUUAUUUAUUUGUUUAACAUUUAUAAUUUGUAAGGGUAUAAAUGUAAAAAUAUCCGUUGUCAGAUUUUUUAAGUAAAAAAAAACUUAAUAUUUAUUUUUAGUGAUUCAAAUAAAAAAUAAACAUAUCAUUUAAAUUCAUACAUUUAGCUCUAUUAAGAAUUAAAACUAAUUUAGAUCUAUUCAGAUUUAAAAAAAAAAAAACAAAUACCACUUAAAUAUAUAAAAAUUAAUGUAAUAUGAAGAAAUUAAUUGAAAAGGGAUAACAAUUAUCUUUUUCAAAUAUGUUGAGUCAUGAUGAUUUUAUACAAACAAUCUCCUCAUGAGAUUAAAAUGAGCAAUGUGUCAAGGGUAUAGCAAAAUUAUCAAAAUGCUCGGUUUGUUAAAUUUAAUUUUCAAUUUUUAAAUUUAGAAAGUCAAAAGUCAAACUAAAUCAUUCGGUCUUUAAAAAAAGCAAAAAUACCAAAAUGACCCCGCUCCCCUUCUUAACCACCCGAUCCUCCACAAUUUCUCCUUAUCCUCUCAUCAAUAGCAAUGGCACAAAGAAAAGAAAACAUAGUGAUGUUCCCAUUCAUGGCACAAGGCCAUAUAAUCCCUUUCCUAGCAUUAGCCCUUCACUUGGAAAAAACAAACAAAUACACCAUAACUCUUGUUAACACCCCUUUAAACCUUAAGCAACUCAAAUCAUCUCUCCCUCAAAAUUCCUCUAUUCACCUUCUUGAAAUUCCUUUCAAUAGCGUAGUGCAUGACCUCCCUCCUUGUACUGAAAACACAGACUCUAUUCCAUAUCACCUCUUUCCAAAAUUCCUUCAAGCAACAGCAUCGCUCGAACCCCACUUCAAGAAACUAAUCUCUGAACUUGUCAAUGAACAAAAUGGCCAAAAACCACUUUGUAUCAUCACUGAUAUGUUCCUUGGUUGGUGUAAAGAGACAGCACAUGAGUAUGGUAUUUUUCAUGCUAUAUUCAUAGGAGGUGGUGGCUUUGGCUUUGCUUGUUUCUACUCUUUGUGGGUAAACUUGCCUCAUCGGAAAACGGAUGCCGAUGAAUUUCUGUUGCCGGAUUUUCCAGAAGCUUCAACACUUCAUGUAACACAGAUAUCUCCUUACUUACGUGCUACCGAUGGAAGUGAUUCUUUUUCAGUGUUUUAUAAGAAGUUGCUUCUUCUAUGGAAGGAUGCAGAUGGAAUUUU